Molecule: long non-coding RNA, 301 nt
Organism: Gigantopelta aegis
Lineage: Eukaryota; Metazoa; Mollusca; Gastropoda; Neomphalida; Peltospiridae
Exons: 2
Source: RefSeq, a predicted model, not a curated record
CCGCCAACGCAGGUGACGAUGACGUCAGGACGCGAUGGCAUCUGUUCCGCCGCUUCUUUGAUCAUACUUCCAUGACCUUCCCUGCAACACGCGUUUCAAAAAAAGGAAACACCUAUAGCAAAGGCAGCUAAAUUGUGGUUCAGCCCUAACUACCACACGGCUUGUGUCUGCUGUUUUUGUAACUCACCUGGAUUCUGUGCCAGUUUCUGCGCAUGUUCAUUGGCUUCGUCCCACACUUUACCAUGGAUAAGAACAGUAGCUCCCUGAAUACAUGCAAAUAAUAAACUCACACGUUACCGAC